CACCGGCGGCCCGAGUGGUGGCCACUAUUAUUGGGUCCAAAGGGUCCGUAGCCGGUUUGAUCAGUCUUCCGGGAAAUCUGACAGCUCAACUGUUAGGCUUCCGGGGGAUACUGUCAGACUUGGGACCGGGAGAGGUAAGAGGUACUACAGGGGUAGGAGUGAAAUCUUGUAAUCCUUGUGGGACCACCAGUGGCGAAGGCGUCUUACCAGAACGGGUCCGACGGUGAGGGACGAAAGCUGGGGGCACGAACCGGAUUAGAUACCCGGGUAGUCCCAGCCGUAAACGAUGCUCGCUAGGUGUCUGGGACGGUGCGACCGUUUCAGGUGCCGCAGGGAAGCCGUGAAGCGAGCCACCUGGGAAGUACGGCCGCAAGGCUGAAACUUAAAGGAAUUGGCGGGGGAGCACUACAACGGGUGGAGCCUGCGGUUU
RNAcentral lists this ribosomal RNA (430 nucleotides) under uncultured archaeon. RNAcentral describes it as "bacterial SSU rRNA". It matches the Rfam family "Archaeal small subunit ribosomal RNA", at positions 474 to 903 of the family's 1478-position model. The record is from RNAcentral.